CCAAUCUAGAGUNUCGGAGAGGAAAGUGGAAUUCNUAGUGUAGCGGUGAAAUGCGUAGAUAUUAGGAAGAACACCAGUGGCGAAGGCGACUUUCUGGACGAAAACUGACGCUGAGGCGCGAAAGCCAGGGGAGCGAACGGGAUUAGAUACCCCGGUAGUCCUGGCCGUAAACGAUGGGUACUAGGUGUAGGAGGUAUCGACCCCUUCUGUGCCGGAGUUAACGCAAUAAGUACCCCGCCUGGGGAGUACGACCGCAAGGUUGAAACUCAAAGGAAUUGACGGGGGCCCGCACAAGCGGUGGAGUAUGUGGUUUAAUUCGACGCAACGCGAAGAACCUUACCAGGUCUUGACAUUGAUGGACAGAACUAGAGAUAGUUCCUCUUCUUCGGAAGCCAGAAAACAGGUGAUGCACGGUUGUCGUCAGCUCGUGUCGUGAGAUGUAGGGUUAAGUCCCGCAACGAGCGCGACCCCUAUCUUAUGUUGCCAGCACUUUGGGUGGGGACUCAUGAGAGACUGCCGCAGACAAUGCGGAGGAAGGCGGGGAUGACGUCAAAUCAUCAUGCCCCUUAUGACCUGGGCUACACACGUACUACAAUGGGAGUUAAUAGACGGAAGCGAGAUCGCGAGAUGGAGCAAACCCGAGAAACACUCUCUCAGUUCGGAUCGUAGGCUGCAACUCGCCUACGUGAAGUCGGAAUCGCUAGUAAUCGCAGGUCAGCAUACUGCGGUGAAUACGUUCCCGGGCCUUGUACACACCGCCCGUCACACCACGAAAGUCGGAAGUGCCCAAAGCCGGUGGGGUAACCUUCGGGAGCCAGC
Molecule: ribosomal RNA, 819 nt
Filed under: uncultured bacterium
Lineage: Bacteria
Description: bacterial SSU rRNA
Rfam family: Bacterial small subunit ribosomal RNA
Source: RNAcentral